Molecule: long non-coding RNA, 827 nt
Organism: Agrilus planipennis (emerald ash borer)
Lineage: Eukaryota; Metazoa; Arthropoda; Insecta; Coleoptera; Buprestidae
Exons: 6
Source: RefSeq, a predicted model, not a curated record
GCUCGACAAAAGUAUUUUCGGUCGCGAUUUUUUUGUUCGAAAAGUAGCACGCGUUUUUGUGUGGGUCGUUCUUUAUUUAUUGCUCACCCCAUUAAUGAAAUAUCUUAAAUUCAUCAUAUAUUAUAAUUAAAUUUGAAAUAAUUAUUUCCAUUUCCAUAUUAGAUAUAUGUUAGUAUUUUCAUAAUUUGUUGCCAGCAUUUUGAAGUUAAUUCAGUUUUAAAUUAAGUUAAUUCCAUAUAGUUUCCACCUCGAUUUUAAUUUAUUUUAUUGAUUCUGUUUGUUGUAUGGGGUGAGUAGGUAAAUCGUCGAAUUAUGGUUUUCUUAUCGUUCGGUAUAAGGCCAUCGGGAUAAGCGUCGCGAUCGGGAAACUAUGGCCGCGUGAGCCCACACAACCCUCUACGGCGUUGGAGAUUGUAACUAACGGUUUAAUCUAGUCGGUCGAUCCGUACUUUCUUUUUCGGGAGUGUUAGUAAUUCCAUGCUUGUUCACCAUAACGGCACAAGCCUAAAACGAAACCAUUUAUAAGUACAAGUUUCAUCCCUAUUGUCAUGUGUGGGAUUGUUUCAAGGCAGCCAUGUAAUUAAUUACAUGGCUUUGUGUACUUAUAUUAUUGAUAUCAUUUGCAAGCUGGAUUAUAACAUUACAUUAAAGGCGGAAAAGCGACUGUUAUCACAAAUGUUUUACAUCGCUGAAACACCCCCUAGAAAAGGCCUGGAUUUUUACGUCGGCUACUAGACCAUCUAAUGGCGUUCUAUGCGUUCCUUUUUACUUUGGGCUUCUUCUGCCAACUUCGCCGUAGUCUUGACGCCCUCUCCCGAUUUCUGGGC